Lytechinus pictus (painted urchin) is the source of this 3302-nucleotide RNA transcript. It is a transcript of the gene named multiple epidermal growth factor-like domains protein 11, with no coding region annotated. The record is from RefSeq and is a predicted model, not a curated record. The transcript is spliced from 8 exons. Lineage: Eukaryota; Metazoa; Echinodermata; Echinoidea; Temnopleuroida; Toxopneustidae.
GGCCCGCCGCACCCGCUUUAUUUUGUAAACAUUAAAGAGGAUACUAGUGAGUAGUAGUAGACAAGAAUAAGCGGCAUCAGCUCACUGAAUGAAAUCUCUAGCGAAAAUAUACAGAUUGACAAGUUUUCCAUUCUGAAUAUGGGGAUGCUUCUUGUAUCUUUCUCAUCAUGGUUCUAAUAUUGUAAACUUUAUUCGGUAUCAAUCAUCUCCACUGAUAUUUCAUCAUUUAUUGGAUACCAGUCCUGCCGGGUUACAACGACCAACGCAGUUGCACGGGUUGUAAACUUUACCCACAACCACCACGCCUUCCAUCCAUCCGUCCAUCUGCAUGAGAUUGGCCUCCUGCGUUUGAUAUUUGCGGAAUCAGUUACGUCGGUGGAAUAACAUUUGACAGGUGGCUGUAGGAUCAGUUGGGUUUCAAUUAGUAAAGGAUUUAGGAAUCACCAGCCAUUUUAUCAUGGAGUUAUGGAAUAGUAUUGUGUGGAGAGGCACAGCAGUGCUGUUGUUUCUGACAACCUUGUAUUUUACAAGAGGAGAUGCAAGCCUGUCAUUGGACGUGGAUGGUAGCCAUGUCUGUACAAUAACAGAAAGUUAUUUCCAGACCCUGACAGCAUCAUAUAGAGAACCAUUUGAUCAGACAUACUAUACCAAGUGUACAGACAUCACAAACUGGUUCAAGUGCACAAGAAGAAGGACGAGGUACAGAGUUCGGUAUCGUCAAGAAGUGAGGACUCGCUAUCGCAAGUUGAGGCUAUGUUGUAGUGGGUACCAUCAGAGAGAGAAUAUGUGCAUACCUAUUUGUUCCAGUCCCUGUGUCCAUGGGACAUGUUCUGUUCCAGAUCUAUGUACCUGUGAAGCUGGAUAUAGGGGUGAUACAUGUGAAAGUACUUGCCCAGAUAAGAGAUGGGGUAGUAACUGUCUAAAUCGUUGUCAAUGUGCGAACGGAGCAUCAUGUGACCCGACGGACGGAAGCUGUUCCUGUCAAGCUGGCUUUUCAGGUCCCACUUGUUCUGAUCCAUGUCCUGCUAAUACUUAUGGUCCAGGGUGCCUCUUAGAGUGCCAGUGUGAGAAUGGGGGUAGAUGUGACUCGGUAACAGGUGCAUGCUCUUGCCCCCCUGGAUAUCGACUGCCCUUGUAAGUAAAUUCAAUUAGAAAAGUUUUCUAUCUCUAACAAUUUGCUUUUAGAUAUUAAAAAAAUAUAUUAAUCCAUUUUUGUCUCGCCUGCAUAGCAGAGCGAGACUAUAGGCGCCGCUUUUCCGACGGUGACGGCGGCGGCGUCAACAUCAAAUCUUAACCUAAGGUUAAGUUUUUGAAAUUACAUCAUAACUUAGAAAGUAUAUGGACCUAGUUCAUGAAACUUGGCCAUAAGGUUAAUCAAGUAUUACUGAACAUCCUGCUUGACUUUCAGGUCACAUGACUAAGGUCAAAGGUCAUUUAGGGUCAAUGAACUUAGACCAUGUUGGGAGAAUUAUUUUCAAAAUCUUAACCGAAGGUUAAGUUUUUGAAAUGACAUCAUAACUUAGAAAGGAUAUGGACCUAGUUCAUGAAACUUGGGCAUAAGGUUAAUCAAGUAUUAGUGAACAUCCUGCUUGAGUUUCAGGUCACAUGACCAAGGUCAAAGGUCAUUUAGGGUCAAUGAACUUUGGUCAAGUUGGGGGUAUUUGUUGAAUUACUAUCAUAACUUUGAAAAUUUAUGGAUCUAGUUCAUGAAACUUGGACAUAAGGUUAAUCAAGUAUUAGUGAACAUCCUGCCUGAGUUUCAGGUCACAUGGCCAAGGUCAAAGGUCAUUUAGGGUCAAUGAACUUUGGCCAAGUUGGGGGUAUUUGUUGAAUUACCUUCAUAACUUUGAAAAUUUAUGGAUCUAGUUCAUGAAACUUGGACAUUAGGUUAAUCAAUUACCACUGAAUAUCCUGUGCAAAUUUCAGGUCACAUGACCAUGGUCAAUGGUCAUUUAAGGUCAAUGAACUUUAGCCGUGUUGGGAGUCUUUGUUAAAUUACCAUCCUAACUCUGAAGGUUUAUGGAUCUAGUUCAUAAAACUUGGACAUAAGAGUAAUCGAGUAUCACUGAACAUCUUGUACGAGUUUCAGUAGUUUUCAAAGUUAGCACUGCUGCUAUAUUAAAUUGCGUAAUGCAGGCGAAACUGCCAGAGGCGUUCCACUUGUUUUAGUAUUUAGUGCUCAAGAUUAUGAUCAAAAUUUAUGUCAAGGUAAGAAAUGGAAAUCAGGAGUAAAUAAGUUGUUUCUGUAAAUUGGAAAUUUAAAUUUUCAGUCUCAGACUGUGUGUUCUCUGGAGGUCCUCAUUAUGUAAAGCCUUGUACAUAACACUUCUAUGAGCUUGAUAUGGUCUAUUAUCAAUCAGGGGAUAUUUCCUUGUCCUAAUGGAGGACAGACAGCAGCUGACUGCUCUACUCAUGACUCUAUGGCCCCUGAGUUUUUUAGAGUGUUUUAUCUUGAACAUGUCCGGAGCUUGGGAUUUGAGACAGAGUAUUUAUUCAUUGAGAAAGUACAGUUUUGAUUUAGGGCUUUGCAUGUUCCCUGAUUUUCCUUUAUUUCACAUAUAAUUUUUUUUGUUUUGUAUUAUAUAUAUGUACCUCUUCCUCUAUUCUUAAUACAGCAUUAGAAUUAAGAUGGAAACCAUAUUCCUGAGAUCAUUAUGAUUGAUUUUAAAGGGUGUUGAAGCCUACAUGCACAUGAACCCAUAAUGUAAAAUCUUAGUUUUUAAUAUGGCAACUUAGCCAUUAUGGUAACUACCAAGGAAGCCGUGAUUUUUUUAAAUUACUGUAAAGUUCCGUGUAUACGGCGCACCCCGACUUUUGGACUUGUCAAAAAUGAAAAAGAAGACAUGAACAUUACCGGAAAAAUUACCCAUCAGAAUCGGCACGUUCCUAACCUGCGCUACAUAUUUUCCCCCUCACUUUUCAACACUAAAUAAGUGGUAAUUAAUUGGACAACAGAGAAAAGGAAAAGCAGCAGCUAACUCCAAAUAUUGCCGCCAGUGUAGCGGAGCCCUGUUACGGAAAUUCUGUGAGCCCCGCACUUAUUUUUUAAUUGCCGAAAAUUACAUGACGUGCUUAAGUCAUGUGACCGUACUGUUGCGAGGGGGAAAAGCCUGCCGCCGAAUCGGUGUGCUGGUAGAUCAGUUCCCUGUGCAGCGCUAUUGGAAUUAAGAACAUGCAUGUUUUUUCGGGUUUCAAAGUGAUGAGUAUUCAUCAUGAAUAUUGCAUUAUGAAGUCUAUUUUGCCAUUUAUGGCACCGCGCAACAUCCCGUGCACCUAUCCGCUCUCUACAGCCCCAUAUGUAU